RNAcentral lists this ribosomal RNA (301 nucleotides) under uncultured bacterium. RNAcentral's name for it is "partial 16S ribosomal RNA". It matches the Rfam family "Bacterial small subunit ribosomal RNA", at positions 509 to 807 of the family's 1533-position model. The record is from RNAcentral.
CAGUCGCCGCGGGAAUACGAAGGGGGCUAGCGUUGUUCGGAAUUACUGGGCGUAAAGGGCGCGUAGGCGGCGAUCAAAGUCAGGCGUGAAAUUCCUGGGCUCAACCUGGGGGCUGCGUUUGAUACUUGAUUGCUAGAGUGGGGAAGAGGGUCGUGGAAUUCCCAGUGUAAAGGUGAAAUUCGUAGAUAUGUGGAGGAACACCAGUGGCGAAGGCGACUCUCUGGUCUGUAACUGACGCUGAGGAGCGAAAGCGUGGGGAGCGAACAGGAUUAGAUACCCGUGUAGUCCCUGUCUCUUAUAC